CCUACGGGUGGCAGCAGUGAGGAAUAUUGGUCAAUGGUCGGGAGACUGAACCAGCCAAGCCGCGUGAGGGAUGAAGGUACAGAGUAUCGUAAACCUCUUUUGUCAGGGAACAAAGGCGGGGACGUGUCCCCGGAUGAGUGUACCUGAAGAAAAAGCAUCGGCUAACUCCGUGCCAGCAGCCGCGGUAAUACGGGGGAUGCGAGCGUUAUCCGGAUUUAUUGGGUUUAAAGGGUGCGCAGGCGGUCUGUUAAGUCCGCGGUAAAAGCCCGGGGCUCAACCCGGGCCCGCCGUUGAAACUGGCAGUCUCGAGUUGGAGAGAAGUAUGCGGAAGGCGCGGUGUAGCGGUGAAAUGCAGAGAUAUCGCGCAGAACUCCGAUUGCGAAGGCAGCAUGCCGGCUCCACACUGACGCUGAGGCACGAAAGCGUGGGUAUCGAACAGGAUUAGAUACCCCUGUAGUC
This 459-nucleotide ribosomal RNA is filed under the name uncultured bacterium. RNAcentral's name for it is "partial 16S ribosomal RNA". It matches the Rfam family "Bacterial small subunit ribosomal RNA", at positions 338 to 795 of the family's 1533-position model. The record is from RNAcentral.